Molecule: long non-coding RNA, 3718 nt
Organism: Parus major (Great Tit)
Lineage: Eukaryota; Metazoa; Chordata; Aves; Passeriformes; Paridae
Exons: 2
Source: RefSeq, a predicted model, not a curated record
GUAAUGUGUCGGAGUUCUCCUGCAAGCACAAGUAUUAACAGCAUUAGAAAAACACCUUGUUAUUCAUGUCAAUGACUAAUCUCUGUUUCGUUUUUCUCCCACUCUGCUUUCACAGCACCUUGACCGGGCUGGGAAUCACUGCUUAGGACAGGCAGCGCACACUAAGCUUGCUUGAGGUCCUCAAAGGAGAUGAGUAUGUUCGAUGUCAAAGCCAAGAACUCUUCCUACAGCCAUCAGUACGUUACACCUGGACUCCAUUGAUUUUUCCUGCUGUCUUCACUCUCCUGUGCACACAGGCACUCAUUCACACUCAUGCUCACACCAUGGCCAAACCACACCGCAGGCCGCUCCUUCCUAAUCAGCCAAGGAACUCAAAUUUCACAGCAUCUUCUCCAAUUCCAGGAUAGAGGUCUCAGAAACACAGGCCCUUGCCUCGCCAUGUGGCAUUUGCCAGCAACGCAGCAGAUUCCUUCCUAAGCAAGCCAAGGUUUGGUGCUCCAGAGAUUCUGCUCCAUUUCCCAGGCAAUCAGUCCAAGAAACCUGAUCCACAUCUUUCCUGAGGGAAGCACCUGCUGCUGCCCAGGUCUCUUUCAACCAAUCACCAACACAAGUGGUGACAGCAGCUGCAGGAAUGGAGUUCCCCCAAGAGGAACUCUGUGUCCCAGACCAAGAGGAAGGAGGAGCUCAACAGCAAGAUUUCUAAGCCUGCCCUGAGACCACAGUGAGAAAUUCUCCCAAGAGCCUCAGGCCUGUACCACAAGGCUUCUCAUCUCCAGUGCUCAAGCCACAAGCAGAUGAGUACAAAAUACUUGGUUUGCUGGCCAACUCUGGAGCCUAUCCCUCAUUCCCUGCCAGCCCACCACACACAAAUCCCAGCUGGGGACACCAGAGGCUGGCAGGACACCAGAGACUGGCAGGACUGGGGUGCCCAGGGAAAAGGGUGCCUGAUGCAAAGAAAAGAUGCUCAAAUAAGCAGGACACUUGCCACCUCCACUUUUCUUUCACAAAAUAUUUCAGUUUCCCCAACUUGCAAAAGUAGAAUAACUAGUAUGAUCUGAAAAUGCAAUUUGGUUUGUUAAUCCUUUGUCUUGUAUUUGAGAUUCUCUGGUUUAAGCAAAAACAAGUGGGAUCCAGUCUACUUAAUCUUCCACAGCAAACUUGAACUCGUAUGUUGUGUGGUUGGUGAACCAAGCCUUUAAUCCUAGCUUAAAGCCCACCCUGAGGAUUUAAAAGGCACCCUCAGUGCCUCUGAGGAAUGUCACUGACAGUCAGGCCCUAGAGGACAACAGUGACACUGCAGUUGAAGAUGCUCAUGGAAGCACCAGAGACUCCUCAUCACAGGAAUUUCACAACUGCCCUCUCCUGUGCACUGCCAACACUGCAGUUACUGAGUAACUGCUAGGUCAUUUUACAGUUCUAUGACAUCACUAGAAAAUGCCAACCUGUCUGCUGUAAGGUACAAAGCAGGAAUGUAAGAUGCACUCCAGCAGCUGCAAUCCUGUCUGGAGGUGCCACAGGGUAUCUUGUGCCCAGCCCUCUUACUGCUUUAUAAAUUUCCAGACCUGUGGGCCUCAAGUUUGUACAUCUCAGUUACCAGGAGGGUGUUUAAAGCCUGCUGAUACAGCCCCUCUCUCUGCCUGCUGUGGCAGCCAGCUCCUGAACCUCAUUGCCUGCUGGGCAGGGAUGCAUUUGGUUUAAAGCCAUCCUCUGCAAAUUUCACUGGCUUUCCCCCAGCUCUUACAUGGUGAGUGCUGGCAAACAGCAGCUCUGUCUUCAGCUUAUCCACUGACUUCCUGAUUACAUAAACCUUACUCCACACUCAAAAGCCUCAGGCAUUUCAGCCUCCCCCAAAGGGCAGCUGCUCCCUCCUACAUAAUCACCGCUGCCCUUCUCUGCACUGCAAUGCCAUUAACAGCCCCCUGAAGGACACAGAGGGAUCCCUGCUGUAGCAGGAAUAUCCAGCACAGAACAGGCAGCCCCAUGCACGGGAGGGGGAAUCCCUGAUUGUGUCCAGCCUCACAACCCCGAGCUCCCAGAGCCACUGGCUCAGCCCCCGGACAGCGACACUGCGGCCACGGGCAGGGCAACCCCCAGCUCUGGGCAGCAGGGACGUGCCCUCCCCAGCUGUGGCUGACAGCCCUGGCUGUUCCCCCACCAUGUAACAGGACAGAUCCUGUCCCUCCACACAGCACUGUGCUGUCUCAUACUCCGAGGGAAUGGAACACUUGAGGCAUCACCACACUCCCCCACGAGUCAAAAACCUGCCUUACAGAGCAGCCUGGGCCAAGUUCCAUGGCUUGGCACAUCCGCUCUGCCUGCUCCUGGGCUGUGACAGCAGCCACACUCAGCUCAGUGUCCUCUGCCCAGGUACUCCCUUCCCACCUCCGGUACUCCCUACCUGCAGCACCUGCUGCACUGCUAGCUAGGAUCCAAAGCUGCUGACAGACGAUUUUACAUCACGUUACAAACUGUGCAUCACUUGAGUCCUCACACUUACACAAAGACAACAGAUUCACACAGACACGUGUUAACAUCCACACUUCGCUGAGUAUAUCCCCAAAUGAAUUUUAAAUGAAAUAUUGAAAUGAACACCGCAAAUUUUGGCUUUUCCCAGAAGGCAAAGUUUACACCAAAGUUCUUCUUUAGUAAGUGCUCUCCAUUUAAAUGGAUAUAUUUCUUCAGUACCCGUAAAUCAACAUAUUCUCCUUUUGGAUAGUAUUAUGCUUUAAAUUAGUGUUGCAUAAAUACCGUUACCUUUUUUGGUGAAAAACUCCUUGGAAUAUUUCCCCAACAUAGCGUAUUUUCGAGGGAUUUUUCCCAGCAGUUCAAUGAUCAAUGCUAUGUGGUCUGCAUUGGAGAACAUUGCCAGCAAAACAGAAACAUACAACAGUUUAAUCAGUACAUUGCAUGCACACACUAACACUGGCCCGGUACAGACAGAAAUAGAUUGAUCCUGGUAAAAAACACACGUGUGCACUGCUUGCUCAGUGGCUGCUUUGGAAAGGUACUUUCAGCAAAACUUCCUUCUCAAAACAAUGUUUGAGUGUCAGCUGCCACAAACAACGUGGCAUAUCAUUAAAAAAUGUACCAAUAGUAAUUUUUUGGAACAUUUGGGUGAAAAAAAAAAUUGUCAGAGAUUCCUGGGAAUUUUGCUUUUCAAAAUGAAAAUUUUGUUGUGUGAUCCCAGGAAAUGCUCCUCGCUGGGACAUGAUACAACCAGCAACUGCAAUUCCACUUCUGUCUGCAUCACGGCACCUUUCAAAAAGAAGAGGUACUACCUCUGCGAUUGAAGAAUUCCCGAGAAUAUUUUCCAGAUAGAGCAAAGUGCCUUGGGAUAUUGCCUAGCAGCUCUAUGAUGUGUGCUAUGUGGUCUAUGAGGGAGAGAAAAAAAGGAUACGGGAGUGGAAGGGGCAGGGAAAGGAUGGGAUAAAAAAGAAGAGGAAAGAAACUGGAAUUAGUAAAAAAUCAGAAAUAGUUUCAAAUCAACAAUGUUUGCAGCAAAUCCAUGCAGAGGUUUCCAGGAUCAGCAGAGCUCUGGCAUCAUUAGUAGCAUUUAGGAACAAUGAAUGAUGCCUACAAUACCACUGCAAAUAGCAUUUACAAGCAAACAAGCAUGAAAAUGGACAGGUAUACAGAUGGAAGCAGGAGUUAACUCUGAUUUUAAAAAAAAUAAUUAGUAAUUGCCUAAUUCAAAUAAAAAUACACAAUGUAAACAUUA